GUGGCUGUAGCUCAGUUGGCAGAGCACCGGGUUGUGGUCCCGGUUGUCGGGGGUUCAAUUCCCCUCAGUCACCCA
RNAcentral lists this transfer RNA (75 nucleotides) under Micromonospora arida. RNAcentral describes it as "Micromonospora sp. LB32 tRNA-His". It matches the Rfam family "tRNA". From Rfam's summary of the family: Transfer RNA (tRNA) molecules are approximately 80 nucleotides in length. Their secondary structure includes four short double-helical elements and three loops (D, anti-codon, and T loops). The record is from RNAcentral. Lineage: Bacteria; Bacillati; Actinomycetota; Actinomycetes; Micromonosporales; Micromonosporaceae.